Small nuclear RNA from Harmonia axyridis, 160 nucleotides. RefSeq annotates it as U1 spliceosomal RNA. Lineage: Eukaryota; Metazoa; Arthropoda; Insecta; Coleoptera; Coccinellidae. The record is from RefSeq and is a predicted model, not a curated record. The transcript has a single exon.
UAGCUAAAGCGACGCAGGGAUUACCGUGAUCAACAAGGCGGUGUUCCCCGGAGUGAGGCUCCUUUCGCGGGCUGACCUCACCAUUUUGAGAUAUUUCCUAAGGCGGAAAAACUCAAGCGUUCAAAUUUUUGGUAGCCGGGACUGCGUGAGCUAUUCCGGA